GUGUUUUAAUAAAAAAUGUUCUGGUAAAUCUUUCUGAAUUGCAGCCCUAAUUACUCUGCAGCCUGAUGUGCAGCAAUUGCAAAGCUAAUAGGAUCACCUGAAUCCAGUUAAUGAAUCCUCUGUUAUGUCUUGCUGUGACUCACAAGAUGUGCAGUGUUUCUUCUGGUCUCCCCUGCCCUGCUCCAUUCCCUGGUGAAUAUUUAUGCUCUGUAUGGCUGAAGGUAAAGGGGGUGUGCACCUAGACUCUGAAUGAAUUAACUUAAAUAUAUGUGCAUCCUUCCUCUCAUUAUUUCAAGGGACUUUUAAGGAUCAAGAGCCUGGGCUUUUUGCUUUGGUCUCAAGAAUCCCCUUCAUCUGUGAGGAACAGUUCUGCUGCCAACUUCAUACCACCACCUCUUCCUCCACAGAGGAAAGACUUCUGAGCCUGCUGAGAGCUGCCUCGUUAUGUGGGAUGGUGGCAGGGAUGUAACUACAGAGGAGCCCCUAUGCUCAUCUCCUGGGAGCCCCCACAGCUCUGCAGAAGUGUUCUCAAUCGCUACCGUUUGGUUGCAGCUGGCUGUGCUGUGCCCUGCGUCAGCCUCCAGAGAGCCUGUGUGAUGGGACAGGAGACCUUUCAGCUGGAGAAGUCAGCUGCUGUGCAAGCUUGACCCAGAUUCUGAGCUAAGGGGCUUUCAUCUGGAGAGCUUCCUCACUGAUUUUCAGCCUUAGCUGCGUGAAUUUGUGUCUCCAGACCAGUCUGGGAAUGUAAGAGCCGGGGAAUCAUCUGAACACCGGGAGCUGUUCUACAAGGUAGGAAAGAAUGGUCAU
Molecule: non-coding RNA, 807 nt
Organism: Cyanistes caeruleus (blue tit)
Lineage: Eukaryota; Metazoa; Chordata; Aves; Passeriformes; Paridae
Source: RefSeq, a predicted model, not a curated record